Molecule: unclassified non-coding RNA, 452 nt
Filed under: Hevea brasiliensis (rubber tree)
Lineage: Eukaryota; Viridiplantae; Streptophyta; Magnoliopsida; Malpighiales; Euphorbiaceae
Source: RNAcentral
GCUCUCUCUUCACUUUGCCCCUUCAUUUUUUUUCCCUUCUGAAUCCUUCAUAUCAAUUGCCGAUUACUCGUCCGCCAUGGAAGAAGGUUCAUCGCGACGUGCCAAACGUCCCUUCGUUGAGGACGAUGACUCCAAUAAAGCUCCAGAGCAGAAGCGUGUAAGGUUCCCAAAGGGUAAGAAGGCAAAGCAGGGCGAUACCACGAUUGAUGGGUGUGAAGAUAAACCUAGUGGGCGGACAGAUCCUCGCAAUGCAGCCAAAGAGCGUUCGGCACGGCGGAAUCAAAUAACAGCGGAACUCCUUGAUGAAGAAAACGAAGGUGAAAUAGCUGACAUAUCGCGGGCAGAAGUGGAAUAUGAGGAAAAUGAAACCUUCAUUGAUGAUGGGAUUGCAAUAGAACCUUUUAAUCUGAAUAAAGAGAGAGAAGAAGGUUAUUUUGAUGCAUCAGGAAACU